RNAcentral lists this long non-coding RNA (227 nucleotides) under Capsicum annuum. RNAcentral's name for it is "long non-coding RNA (CANN_LNC004474)". Lineage: Eukaryota; Viridiplantae; Streptophyta; Magnoliopsida; Solanales; Solanaceae. The record is from RNAcentral.
GUUAAUGUAGUUGAAUUAAUGUCGUAUAUCGAUUUUUGUGUGUUGCAUUGGUGUUCUUCAUUGUUCUUGAAAUGACUGACCUUGGAGAGGGUAAAAGUGUUUUGAGAUGAUAUGGAUGAUUGACUGCCAAAUGUACUUUGUAUUCUCUUAGUUGUGUUGAGUUGCUUGAGGACAAACAAUUAUUUUAAGUUGAGGGUGUAGAUGUGUGAGCUAAUGCUAACACAUUU